Molecule: long non-coding RNA, 2108 nt
Organism: Monodelphis domestica (gray short-tailed opossum)
Lineage: Eukaryota; Metazoa; Chordata; Mammalia; Didelphimorphia; Didelphidae
Source: RefSeq, a predicted model, not a curated record
UUAGAUUUUUUCCCCCUACAUUAAAUUUCCUUUUGAUAAAUGAGGUUUUUUGCUAUUAAAGAAAGUGUCUAUGGGGCUUCUUUCUGGGUCAGACUUGCUCCAUUUCUACAAAGAGGAGACUGAAUAAGAUGACUUAAAAAUUCCCCUCCCACUCAGAUAUUGUCUUCUAUAUUCUUGUAUUCUAUGAUAAUAGUUCUCAUUACUACAAUGCUUCAAAGUUUCAAAAGCAAGACAGGGCGAUAGAGUGGAAAAGAAGCAACAGGCUUACAACUAGUAGAGGCAUGAGUCUGAAUCCCAAUUCUAAGACUCACUGGCUGUGUGAUCCUGGAAAUUACCUUUAUCUUCUGUCUUAGAAACUGUGAAUUGGUUCCACAGCAGAAAAAUGUUAAGGGCUAGGCAAUGGGUUUAAGUGAGUUGCCCAAGAUAAUGUGGCUAGGAAGAGUCUGAGGUCAGAUUCAAACUCAGGACCUCCCAUCUCUAAGCCUAACUUUCAAUCCACUGAGCCACCUACUUGACCCUAACAUUUUCUUUUCUGAGCCUCAGAUUCCUCACCAUGAAGUGAGAAUAGUAUUUGUAUUACAUUUUCCUCUGUAGUUUUGAAAUAUUUCUAUGGCUAUUACUGCUAAUGCUGUUAUAUUCAAAGCUUCUUUCCAAUCUAACAGUUUGGUUGUUGAAUCUUCUUUUAACAAUGAUAUUCUCCUUUGAGCAGAGCCUCUAGCUCUGGCCUUUUUUGUUCUAAAGUUGCCUUCAAUUAUGACAUUAUAUUCUUCACCCUGGAUUUCUAAGCUUCCUUCUAAUUAUAACAUUCUAUGCUCAAAGAUUCUUCUUUGGAUCAAAGGAUCAUUGGAUACUAAAGGGAAAGGACCUUAGAAACCAAUGGGUUCAACUUCCUCACUUUGUAGAUGAAGAAAUUUGGGGUUUAACAAGGUUACUUGGUCAAGGGCACUUCAAUUCCAACCCCAGCAUAAUUUCCAUUUUACUACAGUGCUUCUCAUCAACAAGCAUAGGGUGGAUAUUUCAUUAUUAUAUCUUUUAAAUGCCUAGACAUUGUACAACUGCCUUUAAAGAUACAGUAGAAGUGACUUUAUGUUUUUUUUUAGAUAAAACCAAAAAGUGUCAGAUAUGCAUUUGAAACAUAACUAGAGAAGGAAGUGAAAUGUUUUUGAUUUAGAAGAGCAAGCCUCAGAAGAGAAUAACUCUAAACAGUGUCUUCAUCUGUCUUCAUUUCUUACCUCUGCAAAAAAGUUUUUGAAAACAAAAGCAGAUGCAGUAUCCUGAAGUUUCUGAAAUUCUAAACCUGGAAAGGGUCGAGGGGAUCGUUAUAGGAGAAAGAGAGGGAAGAAGAGAGGGAGAAAAAAAUUUUGGUAAGUUAACCAGUUAUUUUUUAAAUGAAAAAUGCUGUAUAUUACUUAUUUGUAACAUUACAGAUAUAUAAAUUAAAAUAACUGAGAUUUCAUAUCAUAUCCAGCAAAUUAGAAAAGGUAACAAAGCUGAAAAUAGUCAAGGAUAAAAGGCUUGUACAAAUUCAGAUACACUGUUGAUAGAUGAUGAACAUUCCAUAACAUUCUGUAAAGGAAUUUGGAAUUAUGCAAGAAAAAUGAAUAAAUAUUCAUAUCCUUUUACCUAAACAUCUCUUCUCUGAGCAUAUUCCCCCAAAGAGGUCAAAGAUGAAAAAAAGAUCCCAUAGAUGGGUCUUUUGUUCAUAACAACAUUUUUGUGGUAGCAAAAAAAAAACAAAAAAACAAAGAAAACCAACCCAACAACUGGAAUCAAAGUGCAUUCUCAUAACCUGGGGAAUGGCUGCAAAAACUGUGGUUAUAUGAUUGUAAUGGAAUUUUUUAUGUAAUAGGAAAUGGCAAAAAUUAGGAAUUCAGGGAAGACUUGUAAGAACUAAGACAAAGUGAAAGAAGCAGACGCCGGAGAGCAAAUUACAUAAUUUCUUUAAUAAUAUAAAGAGAUAAAAACCCUAAAAUUAAGCCAUACUGUUAGCUGCUAUAAAGAUGACAGAAUUACAGAAUUAAAAUAAAUUUCAUCAGUCUAAAGACCAAAGCACACCUGGAAAAGAGUUCUAGUAUAAUAUUGUUAAGAAAUGGUCAUCUGGCUUUUGU